Molecule: unclassified non-coding RNA, 440 nt
Filed under: Hevea brasiliensis (rubber tree)
Lineage: Eukaryota; Viridiplantae; Streptophyta; Magnoliopsida; Malpighiales; Euphorbiaceae
Source: RNAcentral
AAUCCUCCUCCUCCUCCUCCUCAUCUUCAUCCUCAUCUUCCUCAUAUCUCCUUCUCACAGGGCUUUUCUCAUCCCGAUCCCAAUAGGACAUGUAACGAGCAGUCUGCUGCUGUGGUUGUUUAGGAGUGGUGAAUUUCGAACUUCGAUCGGUUUUCACAAUCAUCGUGCCGGAGAUUGAUGCCAUAUCAUCGUCGGAAACUGAAUCUAUAGCUCCACCUCCUCCGCCGAAGUCCUUAGGUAGACGUUUGAGUAAAGGAGGAAGUGAUUCGUCGUCGUUUAAGUCAUCUACAACGUCGUCAUCGUCAUCGUCUUUGCAAACCAUAGUAGCAUAGAGGUCUGAAUUGUCUUUCUCAUCCGUUUUCCGGUCGUUAUCGUGGAUGACGAAGGUGGAGUAAAUGUCGGAUUGCUUCGCCGGCGGCGGCGGCUUCCGGGAUCGCCAC